RNAcentral lists this ribosomal RNA (446 nucleotides) under uncultured bacterium. RNAcentral's name for it is "partial 16S ribosomal RNA". It matches the Rfam family "Bacterial small subunit ribosomal RNA", at positions 331 to 793 of the family's 1533-position model. The record is from RNAcentral.
CCAGACUCCUACGGGAGGCAGCAGUGGGGAAUAUUGCACAAUGGGGGAAACCCUGAUGCAGCGACGCCGCGUGAGCGAAGAAGUACCUCGGUAUGUAAAGCUCUAUCGGCAGGGAAGAAGAUGACGGUACCUGACCAAGAAGCUCCGGCUAAAUACGUGCCAGCAGCCGCGGUAAUACGUAUGGAGCAAGCGUUAUCCGGAUUUACUGGGUGUAAAGGGAGCGUAGACGGCCAGACAAGUCAGAAGUGAAAGCCCAGGGCUCAACCCUGGGACUGCUUUUGAAACUGCCGGGCUGGAGUGCAGGAGAGGUAAGCGGAAUUCCUAGUGUAGCGGUGAAAUGCGUAGAUAUUAGGAGGAACACCAGUGGCGAAGGCGGCUUACUGGACUGUAACUGACGUUGAGGCUCGAAAGCGUGGGGAGCAAACAGGAUUAGAUACCCCAGUACG